This 192-nucleotide ribosomal RNA is filed under the name Vibrio parahaemolyticus. Its description in RNAcentral is "partial 16S ribosomal RNA". It matches the Rfam family "Bacterial small subunit ribosomal RNA", at positions 1 to 176 of the family's 1533-position model. Lineage: Bacteria; Pseudomonadati; Pseudomonadota; Gammaproteobacteria; Vibrionales; Vibrionaceae. The record is from RNAcentral.
AAAUUGAAGAGUUUGAUCAUGGCUCAGAUUGAACGCUGGCGGCAGGCCUAACACAUGCAAGUCGAGCGGAAACGAGUUAUCAGAACCUUCGGGGGACGAUAACGGCGUCGAGCGGCGGACGGGUGAGUAAUGCCUAGGAAAUUGCCCUGAUGUGGGGGAUAACCAUUGGAAACGAUGGCUAAUACCACCUGA